RNAcentral lists this ribosomal RNA (449 nucleotides) under uncultured bacterium. RNAcentral's name for it is "partial 16S ribosomal RNA". It matches the Rfam family "Bacterial small subunit ribosomal RNA", at positions 29 to 523 of the family's 1533-position model. The record is from RNAcentral.
AACGAACGCUGGCGGCAGGCUUAACACAUGCAAGUCGAACGAUGUAGCAAUACAUAGUGGCGCACGGGUGAGUAACGCGUGGGAAUGUACCUUAUAGUGGGGAAUAACGUUGGGAAACUAACGCUAAUACCGCAUACGCCCUUCGGGGGAAAGAUUUAUCGCUAUAAGAUCAGCCCGCGUGAGAUUAGGUAGUUGGUGGGGUAAUGGCCUACCAAGCCUACGAUCUCUAGCUGGUCUGAGAGGAUGAUCAGCCACACUGGAACUGAGACACGGUCCAGACUGCUACGGGAGGCAGCAGUGGCGAAUAUUGGGCAAUGGAGGCAACUCUGACCCAGCCAUGCCGCGUGAAUGAUGAAGGCCUUAGGGUUGUAAAGUUCUUUCGCCGAUGAAGAUAAUGACGGUAGUCGGAGAAGAAGCCCCGGCUAACUUCGUGCCAGCCGCCGCAGUAA